This 443-nucleotide ribosomal RNA is filed under the name uncultured bacterium. Its description in RNAcentral is "partial 16S ribosomal RNA". It matches the Rfam family "Bacterial small subunit ribosomal RNA", at positions 338 to 795 of the family's 1533-position model. The record is from RNAcentral.
CCUACGGGAGGCUGCAGUGGGGAAUAUUGGGCAAUGGGCGCAAGCCUGACCCAGCAACGCCGCGUGAAGGAAGAAGGCUUUCGGGUUGUAAACUUCUUUUCUGAGGGACGAAGAAAGUAACGUUACCUCAGCAAUAAGCCACGGCUAACUACGUGCCAGCAGCCGCGGUAAUACGUAGGUGGCAAGCGUUAUCCGGAUUUAUUGGGUGUAAGGGGCGUGUAGGCGGGAAGGCAAGUCAGAUGUGAAAACUCAGGGCUCAACCCUGAGACUGCAUUUGAAACUGGUUUUCUUGAGUGCUGGAGAGGCAAUCGGAAUUCCGGGUGUAGCGGUGAAAUGCGUAGAUAUACGGAGGAACACCAGUGGCGAAGGCGGAUUGCUGGACAGUAACUGACGCUGAGGCGCGAAAGCGUGGGGAGCAAACAGGAUUAGAUACCCUAGUAGUC